RNAcentral lists this ribosomal RNA (301 nucleotides) under uncultured bacterium. RNAcentral's name for it is "partial 16S ribosomal RNA". It matches the Rfam family "Bacterial small subunit ribosomal RNA", at positions 509 to 809 of the family's 1533-position model. The record is from RNAcentral.
CAGUCGCCGCGGGAACACGGAGGGUGCGAGCGUUAAUCGGAAUAACUGGGCGUAAAGGGCACGCAGGCGGUGACUUAAGUGAGGUGUGAAAGCCCCGGGCUUAACCUGGGAAUUGCAUUUCAUACUGGGUCGCUAGAGUACUUUAGGGAGGGGUAGAAUUCCACGUGUAGCGGUGAAAUGCGUAGAGAUGUGGAGGAAUACCGAAGGCGAAGGCAGCCCCCUGGGAUAACACUGACGCUCAUGCACGAAAGCGUGGGGAGCAAACAGGAUUAGAUACCCCAGUAGUCCCUGUCUCUUAUAA